UACGUAGGGGGCAAGCGUUGUCUGGAUUCAUUGGGCGUAAAGCGCGUGUAGGCGGCCAGGUAGGUCCGGUGUGAAAACUCGAGGCUCAACCUCGAGAGGUCAUCGGAAACCAUCUGGCUAGAGUCCGGAAGAGGAGAGUGGAAUUCCCGGUGUAGCGGUGAAAUGCGCAGAUAUCGGGAAGAACACCUAUGGCGAAGGCAGCUCUCUGGGACGGUACUGACGCUGAGACGCGAAAGCGUGGGGAGCGAACAGG
This 253-nucleotide ribosomal RNA is filed under the name uncultured bacterium. Its description in RNAcentral is "partial 16S ribosomal RNA". It matches the Rfam family "Bacterial small subunit ribosomal RNA", at positions 524 to 776 of the family's 1533-position model. The record is from RNAcentral.